GCUUGGCUAACUCAGUCAGUAGAGCAUGAGACUCUUGAUCUCAGGGUCAUGAGUUCAAGCCCCAUGUUGGGUG
This 73-nucleotide transfer RNA is filed under the name Ailuropoda melanoleuca (giant panda). It matches the Rfam family "tRNA". From Rfam's summary of the family: Transfer RNA (tRNA) molecules are approximately 80 nucleotides in length. Their secondary structure includes four short double-helical elements and three loops (D, anti-codon, and T loops). The record is from Rfam by way of RNAcentral. Lineage: Eukaryota; Metazoa; Chordata; Mammalia; Carnivora; Ursidae.